Molecule: long non-coding RNA, 882 nt
Organism: Andrographis paniculata
Lineage: Eukaryota; Viridiplantae; Streptophyta; Magnoliopsida; Lamiales; Acanthaceae
Exons: 2
Source: RefSeq, a predicted model, not a curated record
AUCCGCAAUUCGUUGGCGCAAUCGACCGGAAGUGUUUAAUUCCGUCGCCGGAGAUAAGCAAGCAAGGAAAUGGUGUGCGAUCGUCUUGUUAACUCUAUUUUUGGAAGCUUGGUGGAAAUUUCUAUGGUUGAUUCCGAAUAUCAGUGAAUUCUAUGGCCUAACAUUGAGCACACUUUUUUAAUGUAAUCGAGUCGAGCCGUGCCGGCUGUCCACAGGUGUAUUUUGUAUCUAGCAGACGAGGGGGAGGGGCCAUAUCCAGAGAGCAAGUAUGAAGUAGCAGAAACAGAAGCACUAUGUCGAAAUUCAUGAACCUGGACAGGUCAGUAAAUUUUGUCUGGAAAUAAAAGGGGUCCCAGAAUGAAAGAAAAAUGAAUGACUUGUCUAUUUGGGCACCUGAAUUGAAUCGAAUUGAAUUGUAAAUGAGAAAAUUUUAUGUUUUUUAAGUUUUGAAAGAACACGAAAAAUGGGACUGUGUGUUGUUUAGAAUUAAAUGCACAGAUGUGUACAAGACAUUCUUCGACAGGACAACCUGUGCUCCAUGUGUUGUUCUGAAUCGAAUUUAUAGUCGAAAGAACGAGGAACAAACUUGAAGGAGGAGGAGAGGUUAUAGGAUUCUUCGAAAUUUUUGAAAAUAAAUUAGUUGGUUUGGGAAUAGUAAAAUGUUGAAUAGAAAAUAAAUAUUUAACGUCGAAAUAAUUAGUUAUUUGUUUUUAUUUUUAUUUUUUAAUGACGUAGGAAUCUGCUGAGGCUAAUAUUAUUUUAAUGUCUUAUGUGUAUAAGUAAAUGGAGCCUUGAGUUCUUGAUUGUAAUAUUGUAAAUAAAAGAUUUAUAUGUAAUUGAUUUUUUUGAAUAGUUGAUGAAUAUUAAUAUUUCUUUUGUCUA